CCAAUAGCGUAUAUUAAAGUUGUUGCGGUUAAAAAGCUCGUAGUUGAAUUUCGGAAUUGAUGCAUCGGUCAUGCCUUAAGGGGCAUGAACUGGUGUAGCCAAUUUCUCAUCUUCUGGUGAAUUGUGAUGUUCUUAAUUGGGUGUCUCAAUGAACUGGAAUUUUUUACUUUGAAAAAAUUAGAGUGUUUAAAGCAGGCAGUGAUUUGCUUGAAUACAUUAGCAUGGAAUAAUGAAAUAGGACGGUGGUUCUGUUUUGUUGGUUUCUAGGAUAACGUAAUGAUUAAUAGGGACAGUUGGGGGCAUUAGUAUUCAAUUGUCAGAGGUGAAAUUCUUGGAUUUAUUGAAGACUAACUAUUGCGAAAGCAUUUGCCAAGGAUGUUUUCAUUAAUCAAGAACGAAAGUUAGGGGAUCAAAGACGAUUAAGUACGUUGUAGUCCUAACCAUAAACUAUGCCGACUAGGAAUCAGACGAUGUUAAUUUUUUAAUGACUUGUUUGGUACCUUACG
This 506-nucleotide ribosomal RNA is filed under the name uncultured Glomeromycotina. RNAcentral's name for it is "partial small subunit ribosomal RNA". It matches the Rfam family "Eukaryotic small subunit ribosomal RNA", at positions 591 to 1092 of the family's 1831-position model. Lineage: Eukaryota; Fungi; Glomeromycota. The record is from RNAcentral.